GCCCGGUUAGCUCAAUCGGUAGAGCGUGAGACUCUUAAUCUCAAGGUUGCGGGUGAGUAGAUCUCGGAAUACAACUUGUCCGAAAACCAAUUCUAACCCGUCCGUCAUAGGUUCGACCCCCGCAUCGGGCU
This 131-nucleotide transfer RNA is filed under the name Xylariales sp. No.14919. RNAcentral's name for it is "fungal sp. No.14919 tRNA". It matches the Rfam family "tRNA". Rfam says of the family: Transfer RNA (tRNA) molecules are approximately 80 nucleotides in length. Their secondary structure includes four short double-helical elements and three loops (D, anti-codon, and T loops). The record is from Rfam by way of RNAcentral. Lineage: Eukaryota; Fungi; Ascomycota; Sordariomycetes; Xylariales.